RNAcentral lists this transfer RNA (59 nucleotides) under Mus musculus (house mouse). It matches the Rfam family "tRNA", at positions 8 to 63 of the family's 71-position model. From Rfam's summary of the family: Transfer RNA (tRNA) molecules are approximately 80 nucleotides in length. Their secondary structure includes four short double-helical elements and three loops (D, anti-codon, and T loops). Further hydrogen bonds mediate the characteristic L-shaped molecular structure. tRNAs have two regions of fundamental functional importance: the anti-codon, which is responsible for specific mRNA codon recognition, and the 3' end, to which the tRNAs corresponding amino acid is attached (by aminoacyl-tRNA synthetases). tRNAs cope with the degeneracy of the genetic code in two manners: having more than one tRNA (with a specific anti-codon) for a particular amino acid; and 'wobble' base-pairing, i.e. permitting non-standard base-pairing at the 3rd anti-codon position. The record is from Rfam by way of RNAcentral. Lineage: Eukaryota; Metazoa; Chordata; Mammalia; Rodentia; Muridae.
UGGCUCAGUGGUUAAGAGCACUUGACUGUUCUUCCAGAGGUCCUGAGUUCAAAUCCCAG